This 433-nucleotide ribosomal RNA is filed under the name uncultured bacterium. RNAcentral describes it as "partial 16S ribosomal RNA". It matches the Rfam family "Bacterial small subunit ribosomal RNA", at positions 29 to 507 of the family's 1533-position model. The record is from RNAcentral.
AACGAACGCUGGCGGCAUGCCUAACACAUGCAAGUCGAACGAGACCUUCGGGUCUAGUGGCGCACGGGUGCGUAACGCGUGGGAACCUGCCCUUAGGUUCGGAAUAACUCCCCGAAAGGGGUGCUAAUACCGGAUAAUGUCUUCGGACCAAAGAUUUAUCGCCUUUGGAUGGGCCCGCGUUGGAUUGGCUAGUUGGUAGGGUAAAAGCCUACCAAGGCGACGAUCCAUAGCUGGUCUGAGAGGAUGAUCAGCCACACUGGGACUGAGACACGGCCCAGACUCCUACGGGAGGCAGCAGUGGGGAAUAUUGGACAAUGGGCGAAAGCCUGAUCCAGCAAUGCCGCGUGAGUGAUGAAGGCCUUAGGGUUGUAAAGCUCUUUUACCCGGGAUGAUAAUGACAGUACCGGGAGAAUAAGCUCCGGCUAACUCCGUG